CACGUAGGCGGCCCACCAAGUGUCUUGUGAAAUCCCUCGGCUCAACCGAGGAAUGGCUUGGCAAACUGGUGGGCUUGAGGCAGGUAGGGGCGCGUGGAACUCUUGGUGGAGCGGUGGAAUGCGUUGAUAUCAAGAGGAACGCCAGAGGCGAAAGCGACGCGCUGGGCCUGUCCUGACGCUGAGGUGCGAAAGCCAGGGGAGCGAACAGGAUUAGAUACCCUGGUAGUCC
This 229-nucleotide ribosomal RNA is filed under the name uncultured bacterium. RNAcentral's name for it is "partial 16S ribosomal RNA". It matches the Rfam family "Bacterial small subunit ribosomal RNA", at positions 568 to 796 of the family's 1533-position model. The record is from RNAcentral.